GCAGCAGUGGGGAAUCUUGCGCAAUGGCCGAAAGGCUGACGCAGCGACGCCGCGUGUGGGAUGACGCCUUUCGGGGUGUAAACCACUGUUGCCCGGGACGAACAGCCAGUUUCGACUGGCCUGACGGUACCGGGUGAGGAAGCACCGGCUAACUCCGUGCCAGCAGCCGCGGUAAU
RNAcentral lists this ribosomal RNA (176 nucleotides) under uncultured bacterium. RNAcentral's name for it is "partial 16S ribosomal RNA". It matches the Rfam family "Bacterial small subunit ribosomal RNA", at positions 348 to 524 of the family's 1533-position model. The record is from RNAcentral.